This 533-nucleotide long non-coding RNA is filed under the name Marmota monax (woodchuck). Lineage: Eukaryota; Metazoa; Chordata; Mammalia; Rodentia; Sciuridae. The record is from RNAcentral.
UAUCACUCAAACUUUUUUAAAAGCCUUAGUUUUGUUUUAUUUCCCCUCCCCCUUCUCUAGAUAAAUUUAAAGACCAAUUAAAAGCCACCCAUGUAAUUUUUUGGAAGCAAGUUACAUGUGAUUUUUUUUUUAAGGCAGUAAAGCAACUAAAACAUCAGUCAUUAAAAGGCAUAUACCCAUGAGCCCAGGCAAGGCAGCAGCAGCAUUUGAUGAAUUCACGGCAAUGCAAGGAUCUAGUAAUGCAAGCUGAGAGGUGGGGUGGGCGACGCAGAAAAAUUUGGAAACGGGGACUAUGACUUGGUGGGAAGAUGCCCCAGAAGUGCUGGCAAAGAUGAGGAGCUGCCAGCUGUUGUGGAAGCAGGUGGGGAGGAGGGGGUGUUCAGCACUGAUGGUGUUAGCUCAGCGUGUGGUUCACCAGUUUCUGGAGCCAUCCUCAGGUUACAGAAGGGAAUUUGGAAGAAGCUAUUUCUCUUUCCAAAUUUGAAGUCAGACUACAUUGCUUAUGUGAUCGACCUUUGUAGGGUAGAAAGGAC